CCGUUUCUCAUUGCCGCCCACCCCAUCGCGAUGCGGCUACCACCUGGCGCAUAAAAGCAACGCUCACGUGAGAGAGCGAGCGAGCAACUAGCGCGCCUGCGCUGGAUUCCACCGGAUUCAGAGGAGCGCAUCACCUGCUCCUGUUGUGAAGGAAGUGAUCCGCGGAGGGCAUGCUGCCGUGCCUCACCGGAACGCACUCGUCCCUAUAUUUCGUGACAGGCGCAUACACGCGCGAAACACACCCCGCCAUGCUCGUCCCUGUUGAGCUCCUCAGCGCGGAUGUGGUCUGCACGCCACACCAACCGCCGCUGCAGCCAAGACCGGCUGCACUGCGAGGGACGUUGUUUGCUGCUCUUAUCGCUUCAUCUUAUGCAUUUCUCCUCGCCCGGUAGCUUGCGCGACACGGCUUCAAAACGAACCCGAGGACUCUAAAGAAGAAGCAGCUGCGUAUCCAACCUCUGGCGCGUUACUGGUGGGUGGGAGCAUGAUUCCUGGUGCACCGUGGCGCGUGGCGAACGCCCACACGCAGCCUCCGGCAUACACACGCAUUUCUGCAUGCGGGUAGGUCACGUUUCGGCAGCAUGUGACGCGCCGCAUUGCACUUUCACCGGGCCCCACAUCUCGUGUGCCCACGAUUCCGUCCCCAUCUCUCUCCCCCAUCCUUCACUUCGGAGUCUCUCUCACUCUCGCUAUUCAUCACCCCCACCCCCACGCCCUCUGCACACGCAAAACGCAG
Molecule: unclassified non-coding RNA, 736 nt
Filed under: Leishmania donovani
Lineage: Eukaryota; Euglenozoa; Kinetoplastea; Trypanosomatida; Trypanosomatidae
Description: gene:unknown
Source: RNAcentral